UACGAAGGUGGCAAGCGUUGUUCGGAUUUACUGGGCGUAAAGGAUGCGUAGGCGGACAUUUAAGUCAGAUGUGAAAUACCCGAGCUUAACUUGGGUGCUGCAUUUGAAACUGGGUGUCUAGAGUGCAGGAGAGGUAAGUGGAAUUCCUAGUGUAGCGGUGAAAUGCGUAGAGAUUAGGAAGAACACCAGUGGCGAAGGCGACUUACUGGACUGUAACUGACGCUGAGGCAUGAAAGCGUGGGGAGCAAACAGG
RNAcentral lists this ribosomal RNA (253 nucleotides) under uncultured bacterium. RNAcentral describes it as "partial 16S ribosomal RNA". It matches the Rfam family "Bacterial small subunit ribosomal RNA", at positions 524 to 776 of the family's 1533-position model. The record is from RNAcentral.